RNAcentral lists this ribosomal RNA (600 nucleotides) under uncultured Phialocephala. RNAcentral's name for it is "eukaryotic LSU rRNA". The stretch from base 221 to 374 matches the Rfam family "5.8S ribosomal RNA". The record is from RNAcentral. Lineage: Eukaryota; Fungi; Ascomycota; Leotiomycetes; Helotiales.
AAGUCGUAACAAGGUUUCCGUAGGUGAACCUGCGGAAGGAUCAUUACAAGUGAGGCUACCGAACGUUGGAAACAGCGGUUAGGAGCUUACACCCACCCGUGUUUACAUACUAUUGUUGCUUUGGCGGGCCGUGGCCUCCACUGCGGGCUCUGCUCGUGUGUGCCCGCCAGAGAACCAAACUCUGAAUGUUAGUGAUGUCUGAGUACUAUCUAAUAGUUAAAACUUUCAACAACGGAUCUCUUGGUUCUGGCAUCGAUGAAGAACGCAGCGAAAUGCGAUAAGUAAUGUGAAUUGCAGAAUUCAGUGAAUCAUCGAAUCUUUGAACGCAUCUUGCGCUCCUUGGUAUUCCGAGGAGCAUGCCUGUUUGAGUGUCAUCAAAAGUUCUCAACCACACCGGUUUCUCUGGUGUGGCUUGGAUUUGGGGGUUUGCAGGCUUUCAAGUCGGCUCUCCUGAAAAAGAUUAGCGGUAUCUGAGCAGAAACCAAGCCUCGGGCGUGAUAAUUAUCUAUGCCUUGGUGUAUAAUCUGUGUGGGCUGCUUAUAACCGGAGAGUGUUGACAGAUUUGACCUCAAAUCAGGUAGGACUACCCGCUGAACUUAA